RNAcentral lists this ribosomal RNA (311 nucleotides) under Listeria monocytogenes. RNAcentral's name for it is "bacterial SSU rRNA". It matches the Rfam family "Bacterial small subunit ribosomal RNA", at positions 1 to 300 of the family's 1533-position model. Lineage: Bacteria; Bacillati; Bacillota; Bacilli; Caryophanales; Listeriaceae. The record is from RNAcentral.
UUUAAAGAGAGUUUGAUCCUGGCUCAGGACGAACGCUGGCGGCGUGCCUAAUACAUGCAAGUCGAACGAACGGAGGAAGAGCUUGCUCUUCCAAAGUUAGUGGCGGACGGGUGAGUAACACGUGGGCAACCUGCCUGUAAGUUGGGGAUAACUCCGGGAAACCGGGGCUAAUACCGAAUGAUAGAAUGUGGCGCAUGCCACGCUUUUGAAAGAUGGUUUCGGCUAUCGCUUACAGAUGGGCCCGCGGUGCAUUAGCUAGUUGGUAGGGUAAUGGCCUACCAAGGCAACGAUGCAUAGCCGACCUGAGAGGG